CUACGGGCCGCUGCAGUGAGGAAUAUUGCACAAUGGGGGGAACCCUGAUGCAGCAACGCCGCGUGGAGGAUGACGCAUUUCGGUGUGUAAACUCCUUUUAUAUGUCAAGAAAAUGACGGUAGCAUAUGAAUAAGCACCGGCUAACUCCGUGCCAGCAGCCGCGGUAAUACGGAGGGUGCAAGCGUUACUCGGAAUCACUGGGCGGAAAGGACGCGUAGGCGGGUUGGAAAGUCAGGUGUGAAAUCCUACAGCUUAACUGUAGAACUGCACUUGAAACUUCUAAUCUAGAGUAUGGGAGGGGGAGAUGGAAUUAGUGGUGUAGGGGUAAAAUCCGUAGAUAUCACUAGGAAUACCUAAAGCGAAGGCGAUCUCCUGGAACAUUACUGACGCUAAGGCGUGAAAGCGUGGGGGGCAAACAGGAUUAGAUACCCGCGUAGUC
This 439-nucleotide ribosomal RNA is filed under the name uncultured bacterium. Its description in RNAcentral is "partial 16S ribosomal RNA". It matches the Rfam family "Bacterial small subunit ribosomal RNA", at positions 339 to 795 of the family's 1533-position model. The record is from RNAcentral.